Non-coding RNA from Pseudonocardia sp. 73-21, 98 nucleotides. The record is from Rfam. NCBI's taxonomy places the organism in Bacteria, Bacillati, Actinomycetota, Actinomycetes, Pseudonocardiales, Pseudonocardiaceae.
GCAGGACGUGCCGCCGGUGUCCCCACCCGGCAGCCCUGGCGCACCUUCCCCGGUGCCAGGUCUGCCGGGUGGGGACAUCGACGGCGGCCCGGCUGGGG